CCUACGGGAGGCAGCAGUGAGGAAUAUUGGUCAAUGGGCGCGAGCCUGAACCAGCCAAGUAGCGUGAAGGAUGACUGCCCUACGGGUUGUAAACUUCUUUUAUAAGGGAAUAAAGUGCGGCACGUGUGCCUGUUUGAAUGUACCUUAUGAAUAAGGAUCGGCUAACUCCGUGCCAGCAGCCGCGGUAAUACGGAGGAUCCGAGCGUUAUCCGGAUUUAUUGGGUUUAAAGGGUGCGUAGGUGGGUUGUUAAGUCAGUUGUGAAAGUUUGCGGCUCAACCGUAAAAUUGCAGUUGAUACUGGCAGUCUUGAGUACAGUAGAGGUAGGCGGAAUUCGUGGUGUAGCGGUGAAAUGCUUAGAUAUCACGAAGAACUCCGAUUGCGAAGGCAGCUUGCUAGACUGUCACUGACGCUGAUGCUCGAAAGUGUGGGUAUCAAACAGGAUUAGAUACCCCUGUAGUC
RNAcentral lists this ribosomal RNA (460 nucleotides) under uncultured bacterium. RNAcentral's name for it is "partial 16S ribosomal RNA". It matches the Rfam family "Bacterial small subunit ribosomal RNA", at positions 338 to 795 of the family's 1533-position model. The record is from RNAcentral.